GGAGGUAAAGGUGGGUAGAAAAACACAAAAGACCAAUGGAGCAUAAUUUACAAUAAACUCGUUUAUUAACAUGAAAACCUUUACCAUCCACUUACCUUGGUGGAAUUUAUGAAAACAAUAUGAGAAAAACAAUAACAUUAUCAUAAUCAUUGAAUAAUCUAAGCUGUAAAACAUAACACUUAUCACGCCUCUUGUAAUUCAAUCAUUGUACAACAUAUCUUUUUUUUCUCAUUUACCAGCCUACUAGUAUCCGUGGGGGUCCAUAGGGGUUCCGCUACCCGUUAACCUUUAAUAUUCAUAAUCAGUUUCCAGGGCCGUCCCCAUACCCCGUCCGGUAUGGGCGCCAAAACCAUGAACCUCAAUACCCC
Molecule: long non-coding RNA, 368 nt
Filed under: Carica papaya (papaya)
Lineage: Eukaryota; Viridiplantae; Streptophyta; Magnoliopsida; Brassicales; Caricaceae
Description: long non-coding RNA (CPAP_LNC003508)
Source: RNAcentral